CAUGAGGUGAGGGUGCCC
Molecule: unclassified non-coding RNA, 18 nt
Filed under: Chlamydomonas reinhardtii
Lineage: Eukaryota; Viridiplantae; Chlorophyta; Chlorophyceae; Chlamydomonadales; Chlamydomonadaceae
Description: small RNA Cre_0977
Source: RNAcentral